Molecule: non-coding RNA, 402 nt
Organism: Colossoma macropomum (tambaqui)
Lineage: Eukaryota; Metazoa; Chordata; Actinopteri; Characiformes; Serrasalmidae
Source: the annotation of a RefSeq genome assembly
UGGGAAAUAAGAAAGAAUACCCAAGAAAAUAAGGAAGAAACUAUGGAGAUUGUUGUGAAUCUGCUUUUGAUAGCAAUGUUUCUGAAUGCUGUUCUGUGCCAAACCUUUAUCCAGUCUGAAGCUGUGGUUAAAAGACCUGGAGAGUCUCAUAAACUGACCUGUACAGCAUCUGGAUUCACAUUCAGUAGCUACUGGGCAGGUGUGGUCAGACAGGCUCCUGGAAAAGGCCUGGAAUGGGUUGCUACUAUUGGAACAUCCAGCUCUCCCAUCCGCUAUUCCCAGUCAGUCCAGGGAAGAUUCACGAUCUCCAGAUCCGACUCCAGCAGUCAGCUGUACUUACAGAUGGACAGCCUGAAGAGUGAAGACACUGCUGUGUAUUACUGUGCUAGAUACUCACAGUGA